GUUUUUCGCAAGCCACGUGAAGCAUAGAGGCGAGUUUUGAAGAGAUGGUUCACUUCAAAGACAACACAUCUCCAUCCUCCAAGCGCAAGUAUCUCAUAAUUGAUGCUAAGAAUGGAGGGGUUAUAACCAAGCUAUUGACUUACCCUCCACUAGUUGGUCGAUAUGCAAAUUUGUGGCCACCUCUGCAGAAUUCCCUCCACAUGGUAGAUUGGACUUCAGAGCACAACCAAAAGCCAACCAAAAUGUGGUCCCUUCAGACUCCUUACCAACGAAAACUCAAUAUCGUGAGUACCCUUCCUUGCCUGGGACGGCGUAUGAUUCAAACGGAGAUACGUUGGGGAGAUACUUUGAAAAUUGAUGGUGAAUAUCAUCAUAUCCCGGGAUAUUGGGAAUGGACUGAGGACGUACUUGGAAGAAGUCAACGGGCUUUGGAGACAGCAAGAAUUUGUGAUGUCGUCUAUGUUUCUUUAUUUACAUAUGAUCGAAAUUCAAAUAUCUUACGAGUGUUUCUUGAAGCUUGGUGUCCCACAACAAAUACUUUACUAACAUCAGCCAGAGAACUAUUGAUAUCUCUUUGGGAUUUACAUACAAUUGGCGGUUUACCUAUUGGAGGUUCUCCCUACGAAGAAGUUGUACCCGAAGCUAUCGAACUCACAGGUGUUAAUGAGAAGAAUGAAAGAUUUACUCCUCGAUCUUGUGGAUACCUGUUUACCGCCUUUAACCAUCUUCAACAAGGGGAGAGUCAUGAUCCAAAGGUCUCAUUUAGCAAGUGGAUUGGAUUUUGGUGCAAGAGAGAUUUGAGAUAUAAACCUGCUCCAGAAAAGAGGGAGAAAAAGUUUACCCAUUUGAAGUCAACGCACAACCCCACUGGAGUUAUACCAGAAGUAGUUUCAUAGUCUAGCGCAGAUGAGAUGAUGUUUGCUAAUCUUGGGAUUCGACAUGAAAAGAGAGAAGGCACGUAUCUGGCAGCAUUCUUAUCUUGUUGGUUAUGUGCGUUUGUAUUUCCCUUUCAAAAUGGCAAUUUCAUUCGACCCGAGACCUUUAAAACGGCGAGCAUGAUGGCAUAUGGAUGGAAAUUCAGCCUUUCAAUCCCAGUUAUAGCGAUCAUCUACUAUGGUUUGAACAAGAUCUCCAAGUCCUCGCAUCUCGAGAAUAUCAAAUCUCUUUUCCCAUUCAUUAUGUAUACGGUUGAUUUGCUCACUACUUCAGGACAUACUAUGGACUUCCAAAAGAACAAUAUGUUCUAUUGAUGGUGGCGUAUACUGGGGAAGACGCUGCAAUGUAUUUGGAUGAUACAAAUCCAAGAAAACGCAUCCAUCAAGCGGAUAAUGCAUCUUGGACUUCUACCAUGCUAGAGGCAUCUGAACCCUACUAUUUUGAGGAUAAUGAUAAAGCAUCGGAACUGAAAGUCAAUUAUUUUAUGAGAAUCUAUUUUAAUUAUCUUCCUAUGAGGUGCAGGAACUCUUUCAUUCUUGAACUAUAUAGUCCACAUAGAUUCAGCCGUCAAUUUGGAUUUUAUCAUACCAGCCCUAGUUUUUUGGAAAUGACCUUUGUAGCGCCUCAGUAGAAUAAGGACUCAGCUUUUGGCAAAUUUGUGUGUCACAUAAUUCCACCAACGCGAGGGUGACCUUUCCCCCCGCUAUAUCUACGACAAAAAAAGCUAUUUGCGUCACAGUACAGAUCCUGGUGGACAAGAGUACAUGACAGCUUACGUGAAGAUCAUUUAGAAUCUUUGGUGACUUUUGUUGGGCCAAUCACUGCUACGCCUUUAGAGAUCACGCCUCAAGAGCAUAACAAGGAGGAAAAACCUCAUACUUUGAAAUCUAAAGUGGUUGCACCACUCGACAUCAAGGGAAGCUAAAAAAAGAAGGGACCUUCUCAGGCUCAUCAAGUCCACGAGGGUUCCUUUCUAUUAGGCACCACUAUCCCUACCUCCAACAAAUGCCCAUCCAAAAAUGAGAGUGAUAGUAGUCAUGACGAUCAAAACUUCAAACGGGUGAAGCCAUAUUCAAACAAAUAAGAAGACACUGAUUUGGGUGUAGUAGAAAUUACUGACAGUAUUGGCAGUGCUUCAAGGACUUUGAUGGUCAUUAAAGAGCCAAACGGUGAUUAUAUUUUUAUAGCGUCACACCAAAGCAAAUCAGAGGGUAGUAGUGAAUCUGUGGCGAAUUUGGACUCGAGGAAAUCACUUCUAAUAUCUAAGUCGGACCUAGAGGUGACUUCUAUUACUAAUCUUGGAGCAAAAUUGGGGCCUAAUUUUCACCAACGAUUAGCACCAAUGAUGUCUGUCUUUGACGGAAGAAAGGUUGUCUUGACUAUUCGCAAGGAUUUCAUCUUGAAUGCCUGGGCUAAAAUUCACACCAAACUCUCUGACCUUACUGCAGACAAUGCUUCUUCUGUUCAAUUCGAGAUCCAAGUGAUUCUCGAGGAGAUGGAUGGAAAGGGUGUGGAUAUUUCUCCUCUAAAAAACCUAUUGAUGUCUUUCUUUAAGCUUUCCACUUCAUAUGACCAGGCACAAUCAGCUCUUUCUGAUAUGGUUGUGGACGUUGAAAAAUCAGAGGCAUUUUUAAAAGCCAAGGAACAUCUUGAUCUUGUCUUGACUGAAAAAGGGGAGAAGGUUGAGGAACUGUCUCUCACCAGUCAAUCUCUCAAAGAGGCCAAGGAGAAGGUGAAACAAUUAAGAGCUAUCCGAGUGCUACCAAGAAAGAGGUUGAAGAGAUUGAAUCAAGAGUCUCAUCUGCUGAAGAGGAGUACCGUAGUUGUUCUGACGUUUCCUUGGUGACUUCUGAUGAUUUGGCUGAUGUGGAGACGAAGAAAAAACACUUAGAGGUCAUCCUUAAAGACUUGGUCAAUUAUAAGUUGUAUUUAGAUUAACCUAUAUAGAGUAUUUUAUUUGCUUUUUUUUUUUGCAUUUGGUUAACUAGCGACUAUUCAUGGAAAUGAAAACUCCAUAUGUUUUACUUUAUAUUGCGUGUUUUUAUUGAUG
Molecule: non-coding RNA, 2986 nt
Organism: Nicotiana tabacum (common tobacco)
Lineage: Eukaryota; Viridiplantae; Streptophyta; Magnoliopsida; Solanales; Solanaceae
Source: RefSeq, a predicted model, not a curated record